RNAcentral lists this ribosomal RNA (645 nucleotides) under Triticum aestivum (bread wheat). Its description in RNAcentral is "partial small subunit ribosomal RNA". The record is from RNAcentral. Lineage: Eukaryota; Viridiplantae; Streptophyta; Magnoliopsida; Poales; Poaceae.
AUGGCGGCCGCCACCUCCUCCCUCCUCGGCCGCCGCCUCCUCCUCCUCUCCCGUCGCUUCGUCUCUUCUCCUCUCCGCCCCUUGUCAACCACCGGGCCCCCGUCCUCACACUCGGCCGCGGGAUCCGAUGUCGAGCCCGACCCUGAGCCACCCGCCGAUCAGGGUAAUCAGUACCGGAGCCAGCCGAGGCCUCCCAUCACCACCCGCCCCCUCGAGAAUGGCCUCGACCACGGCAUCUACAAGGCUAUAAUGGUGGGAAAGGUGGGUCAAGAGCCUGUGCAGAAGCGGCUGCGGAGUGGGAAGACCGUCGUGCUGUUCUCUCUGGGCACCGGCGGUAUCCGCAACAACCGCCGCCCGUUGGACAACGAGGAGCCGCACCAGUACGCGGAACGCAGCUCCGUGCAGUGGCACCGCGUAUGCAUCUACCCGGACAGGCUGGGUAGCCUCGCGCUGAAGCAUGUCAAGACCGGAUCUGUUCUCUAUUUGGAAGGAAAUAUUGAGACAAAGGUGUUCUCCGAUCCUAUAACUGGGCUCGUUAGACGCAUAAGAGAAAUAGCUGUUCGAGGAAAUGGUCGGUUCCUGUUUCUUGGUAACGAUGGCAAUGGCCCCAAGAUAGGUGAAGUGAAGGGCGUUGGGUACUUCUGA